GUGUAGUAGGAAAGGAGAGACACUUAGCACUCCCCUAGACAAUAAUGGCAACACAAAAACCGAUUAAAAAAUAAAAAAUGCAAGAAGCUGUUGAAGCAUGUAAAUUGU
Small nuclear RNA from Nilaparvata lugens (brown planthopper), 108 nucleotides. The record is from RefSeq and is a predicted model, not a curated record. Lineage: Eukaryota; Metazoa; Arthropoda; Insecta; Hemiptera; Delphacidae.